This 3052-nucleotide unclassified non-coding RNA is filed under the name Hevea brasiliensis (rubber tree). The record is from RNAcentral. Lineage: Eukaryota; Viridiplantae; Streptophyta; Magnoliopsida; Malpighiales; Euphorbiaceae.
UCAUUCUGCAUCCUGCCGCCUUGCAGAGACAAGAGGGGAGAGCCCUCUCUUUCACUGGCUUCUCAUCAAAGCGUCUUUAUGUACGGUAUUGUUGUACUCCACGCUGCGCUUUCUUAGUUUCCCUUCUCUCCUCAAAUUCAAUUUAGUUAGGUUUCUGUUUUGCUUGCUAUGAGCUCUCUCAACUUGGUUGCUGAGAAAGUAGGGAAAAAUAAAAUCUAAGGAAGCCUGCUUUGUAAUGAAUUGCUUAUCACGUGUUUCUUCCUAUACUGCGGCUAUAUUUGGAAGGGCGGCAAGCCAUUUCAUUUGGCAGAAUACAUCGCAUCCAUGUUCCAUUCCCUUGUGGAAAAGAAGAUUUGAUCAAGCGGAUCACAAAACAGUCAAUUUUGAAUUUUUGUUGCCCAGAUUUCAGGUCCAGUGCUACUCGUCACGAAAAGCUAGUGCAAAAACUCCGCGAAAGAGUAAAUUGGAUCCUGCUCCAACAAUUAUGGAGCAAGAGAAUGAUGCUUUCUUUGUUGUGCGGAAAGGCGAUAUUGUUGGUGUCUAUAAGAGUUUCACUGAGUGUCAAGCUCAAGCUGGAUCUUCAAUAUGCGACCCUCCUGUCAGUGUUUACAAGGGGUAUGCGUUACCUAAGGACACCGAGGGGUAUCUCAAGUCACAUGGGCUGCAGAAUGCUUUGUACACAAUCAGAGCUGCAGACUUGAAAGAGGACCUUUUUGGCACACUUGUUCCCUGUCCGUUUCAGCAACCAGCUUCCUCCAAAGGCGAAACACGCUUGCUGGAUGCCUCAAAAAAGAGAUCACAAGAAUUACUGGAUGUGGGAACAGACAGAUCAGCGUCUGGUUUAACUGACCCCUUGACAAAGCAUGCCAGGUUGGACAGUCAAAGCAAGGCUCAGGCACUGUCUUCUGAUCGUGUAAGGAAUAAGGAUUUCAUGUAGAUACCUUAUAGAUGCAAAUACAUCUUUGUCUGUCUGGCUUAUCAUUUUUAAUAUGUCGCUACUAUAAAAUAGUAAAAGAGGCUCUCUUGAAUAAGCUUGUUAGGAUUAGGCAAUAAAUGGUACUUAGCAAUAGUAUACAUAUAAUGUCUCUGUGAAUUUGAGGACAAUAACAAGCCUGAUCCUCUUUCUGCAGCACUCCUGUGUUCUUGAGUUUGAUGGUGCUUCAAAAGGAAAUCCUGGACCAGCUGGGGCUGGAGCUUUGUUACGGACUACUGAUGGAAGUUUGGUGUGCAUUUUGACUUUUCUGUAUCCCUUAUCUUUUAUUAGUAGUUUCUUCUUUCUAAACCUUCAAUUCAUUGUAGAUCUGCAGAUUGCGAGAAGGAUUGGGCAAAACAACAAAUAAUGUAGCCGAAUAUAGAGCCAUGAUUUUAGGGUUGAAAUAUGCUCUUAAAAGGGGUUAUACGAAAAUUCAAGUCCAAGGUGACUCUAAACUUGUCUGUUCUCAGGUUCAGGGUUUAUGGAAGGUCAAACACCCUAACCUGGCUGAUCUGUACGAGGAGGCGAAAGAGCUGAAGGGCAAGUUUGUUUCUUUUCAGAUCAACCAUGUGCUGAGAGUAUGUACAGUUAUCAUACUUGUAUUUUUGCAAUCAAUGUCCCAUAUCUCGUGUUGGUAAAAUGUGCUUCCAUUUGCUAAUCUAAUAAUUUACAAGAAUCCUUUUUUUCUUUUUAUAUAAAAUGUGGUAAUAUCAGAGUCUUCCUUGGGAAAAUCCUACAUUAAUUAGAUUUCUGAUCAUUCCACUGAUCAAAUGACCCAAUAUUUUAAGUGUGCCUUCCUGUCUGUAAACAUUUGGAUCUGUCGAUUCCUGCAAAAACAUCAAACUUUUCUAGUGCAUUUAUCCGUUCAGCAGCAGCUUCUGGCUAACAGGCAUCUGCAUAUCUAGCAUCAACUGUAUUCUGUUGUGAACCAGUGCAUUCUGUACUGGUGUUUUGCUUUAACUUUCAUUGAGUUUCACAAUUAUGAACUCGAUUAUUAUGCUACUGCUAGUUUGUGCGCAAUUGAGUUUGUUUUUGUUGCAUCUUUCUCUGUUCUCCCUCGUUUAGAUGGAGAACAAAAUGAGGAUUGUGAGCUUGCAAGGCUUGAGUACACUAGUUUGUCUUGUAUAGGUAUGCAACAUUAUUUGAUGUGGCAAAUAUUCAAUCCAACCUGACCUCCCUUUUUGUAGGGUUUAGCGUCUGCUUUAAAUAACCUUAAUACAUAUCGUUGUUGGCUUAUUUUAGGUUUACCAUUAAAGUAAAUAAAUAGACUAAACAUCUGAAUGCAAGUGAAACUGAGGUUUUUAUGAUUCUGCACUGUAAUGUUGUCCAUUCUCUGUAAUGCAAGUGAAGUAGAACCAUUUCUCUGUUGGGGAUUUAAAAGUAGAAAAGGAGCUAUUAUCCUAGAGUUUUAAGAAUUAUCGCUACUAGUAAAGAAGUUGGUUGUGAUUUGCAAAUGAAAGUGUGUGUAAUCCACUGCUUCUGCAGCUUUGACUUGUUGUCUCUUUGUGGACCCUUGACAUGGUCUUGUAUGUGUUCCUCAGGAAUUUAACUCUCAGGCCGAUGCUCAAGCAAACUUGGCCAUCAACCUUGCUGAUGGCCAAGUUCAAGAGGAAUAUGAAUAGCACUUCAUAAUGGAGACUGCAUGGUGUUUUUGGGGGAAUAGUUCACCCAAGUGAUUUUAUUCUUUCAGAGUUGAACCUGGCAGCAGGCUUAGUAACAAGGAGUGCAGCUUAACCUGGCAUCAUUUUCCAUUCUGUCUAAUUGUGCUUGUGCUUGAGAUAUCAACUUCAGUCAUGCUGUAAAGCAGCACGAAGUUGUCAAAUUCACAAGUGCUGAUUUCAUAUCUUUGAAAUAGGCAUAGAUCUAUGAAAUCUCACUCUCACAGAACUUUAUUAUUUAUUCUUUCCCAAAUACAUUACAGCUGGGCAUUCAGACUUGGGAUUAUGUAUAGACAAGUAUAUAAAAUUGUUGGUGAUUGCUAUUAGCUGAUAACAUAGAUGGUUUAUGCCUUUUUUCAAUUUAUUCUUGUAGCAUACGUUAAGGACAUGACUCAUGUUGUUUUUUAAGGAAUGGUCCUUU